This 448-nucleotide ribosomal RNA is filed under the name Akkermansia muciniphila. Its description in RNAcentral is "bacterial SSU rRNA". It matches the Rfam family "Bacterial small subunit ribosomal RNA", at positions 337 to 796 of the family's 1533-position model. The record is from RNAcentral. Lineage: Bacteria; Pseudomonadati; Verrucomicrobiota; Verrucomicrobiia; Verrucomicrobiales; Akkermansiaceae.
ACCUACGGGUGGCAGCAGUCGAGAAUCAUUCACAAUGGGGGAAACCCUGAUGGUGCGACGCCGCGUGGGGGAAUGAAGGUCUUCGGAUUGUAAACCCCUGUCAUGUGGGAGCAAAUUAAAAAGAUAGUACCACAAGAGGAAGAGACGGCUAACUCUGUGCCAGCAGCCGCGGUAAUACAGAGGUCUCAAGCGUUGUUCGGAAUCACUGGGCGUAAAGCGUGCGUAGGCUGUUUCGUAAGUCGUGUGUGAAAGGCGCGGGCUCAACCCGCGGACGGCACAUGAUACUGCGAGACUAGAGUAAUGGAGGGGGAACCGGAAUUCUCGGUGUAGCAGUGAAAUGCGUAGAUAUCGAGAGGAACACUCGUGGCGAAGGCGGGUUCCUGGACAUUAACUGACGCUGAGGCACGAAGGCCAGGGGAGCGAAAGGGAUUAGAUACCCCUGUAGUCC